AGUUGAGUUGAGUCGAGUCCGUCCUCUUUAUUUCCUCUUUCUCUCACUUCUUGCGAGAGCUAAAAAAGAGGGGGAGGGGGAGGGGGAGGGGGAGAAGAGCGCGAGAACGAUCGGUGGUUGGGGAAAUGGGGUGCUUUCCGUGCGCCGGAGAGCCGAGCAGGAAGGGUAAGGAGAAGGAUCAGAUCCCGCCGGCCUCAGCAGAGAAGUCAAAAUCCAAUUCAUCGUCGGAUGUAAAGAAACAGAGCUCACUGGAUGCAAAGAAGGAGGUCUCAAAUAAUGGAUCUGAACAUAUUGCUGCUCAGACGUUUACAUUUCGUGAAUUGGCUGCAGCAACCAAGAAUUUCAGAGCUGAUUGUCUUUUAGGAGAGGGAGGGUUUGGCCGAGUUUAUAAGGGCAGGUUGGAUAGUAUUAACCAGAUUGUGGCUAUAAAGCAGCUUGACCGUAAUGGCUUGCAAGGUAAUAGAGAAUUCCUUGUUGAAGUUCUGAUGUUGAGUCUACUUCACCACCCUAACCUUGUUAACCUAAUCGGAUACUGUGCUGAUGGAGAUCAAAGGCUUUUAGUUUAUGAGUACAUGCCAUUGGGAUCCUUGGAAGAUCAUCUUCAUGACCCGUCUCCAGACAAGAAGCGGCUAGACUGGAACACAAGAAUGAAAAUAGCUGCUGGUGCAGCUAAAGGAUUAGAAUAUUUGCAUGAUAAGGCCAAUCCUCCUGUUAUAUACCGUGAUCUGAAAUGCUCUAACAUUUUGCUUGGAGAGGGAUAUCAUCCCAAGUUAUCUGAUUUUGGCUUGGCAAAGCUUGGUCCUGUCGGUGAUAAAACUCAUGUUUCCACUAGGGUCAUGGGUACUUACGGAUAUUGUGCACCUGAAUAUGCAAUGACCGGACAACUGACACUAAAAUCAGAUGUCUAUAGCUUUGGGGUUGUUCUUCUGGAGCUUAUCACUGGAAGAAGGGCUAUUGACAAUUCUAGAGCUGCAGGGGAGCACAACCUUGUUGCAUGGAUCUCUAGCCCUGAAGUUUAAUAAGGAAACUAUGCGCAUGAAUCUUGAUGUGCCCAUCAACAGAAAACAGUUUGGGAGGCACGACCCCUUUUCAAGGACAGAAGGAAAUUUCCACAGAUGGCUGACCCGAUGCUUCAGGGCCAGUAUCCUGUGAGAGGCUUAUACCAGGCACUUGCUGUUGCUGCAAUGUGUGUUCAGGAGCAGCCCACCAUGAGGCCUUUAAUAGCUGAUGUGGUUACCGCUCUCACUUACCUUGCUUCCCAAACUUACAACCCUGAAGCCCAAUCAAAUCAAAAUACUUCUCGUUUGACAGCACCAGGUACUCCACCUCGAACAAGAAGGGACAGCGAAAAGAAAUCAAGUGGCGGAUCUGAAAAAGACCAGUUGAGAGGACUAAAAUGAAAUCAUCCAUUACUCUUGCUAGAGCAAGAAUGCUUCGAUUCCACCUGCUUUGCUAUCAUCUCCAGGUGCCAGAACAGUGAAAAAUUUUGCCUCGCUUCUAUUCUCUUUUGGCUGGCGAUUUGGUGCCUGGUUAUCGAAUUUUGUGUCAUCAGAAAACAGGCGCACCCUGUUUGAUUCAUGCCUAAAUUCUUCCAGAAAGUGGCUUUUUUUCCUCCCCCCCUUUUUCUCCUUGUUGCUGUACAUGUGAUUUCAGGCCUCUGUAUUUAAAUGUAUCUGUUUAGACAGCAUGUGCUUUUAUUGAUGUUGUUAUUUUUUAUAUCUGCUUUUAGAUACAACAACAGUGUUUGUUCACAGAAAACUAAAGGUUUAUGUAGUAUGAAAGCAUUGCCAAUUUACCAUUUUUAUUAUCAA
Molecule: non-coding RNA, 1811 nt
Organism: Elaeis guineensis (African oil palm)
Lineage: Eukaryota; Viridiplantae; Streptophyta; Magnoliopsida; Arecales; Arecaceae
Source: RefSeq, a predicted model, not a curated record